This 253-nucleotide ribosomal RNA is filed under the name uncultured bacterium. Its description in RNAcentral is "partial 16S ribosomal RNA". It matches the Rfam family "Bacterial small subunit ribosomal RNA", at positions 524 to 776 of the family's 1533-position model. The record is from RNAcentral.
UACGUAGGGUGCAAGCGUUAAUCGGAAUUACUGGGCGUAAAGCGUGCGCAGGCGGUUAUGUAAGACAGAUGUGAAAUGCCCGGGCUUAACCUGGGAACUGCAUUUGUGACUGCAUGGCUAGAGUGUGUCAGAGGGGGGUAGAAUUCCACGUGUAGCAGUGAAAUGCGUAGAUAUGUGGAGGAACACCAGUGGCGAAGGCGGCCACCUAGCCCGCACCUGACGCUGAGGCGCGACAGCGUGGGGAGCGAACUGG